AACUAGAGAGGCAUUUCUUAACCAAACAGGGGAUAAAGGAAAUCAUAAUAAGUUAAAUAGAUCAUUUUUAUUGUAGUACAUGAAAUUGAAAAGCCCUUGCGUGGAGAAAAUCCGUGCAGUUAAGCUAUAAAGGGAAACUAUUGAUGGAGAAAAAAAACCAAAUAUUUUCUGGUAAGGGACUAAUAUAUUCAAGGUAACCAGCACAAAUAUAUAAAACCAAGAGUCAGUAGACAAGUGGUAAAGAAUAUGAAUAAACAGUCUCAAAAAAAGAAUUCCCAACUAGUACCAAACACAAAAAAUUGUACCAAAUUGCUAUUAAUGAGAAAAAUGUAAAUUAAAGCCACUCUUAUGUUUCACUUCCCAGAAAACUGAUAAAGAUGAGAAAAGAUAGAAAUAACUAAUGUUGGAGGGACACCCUAAUUCACUGUGGGCUGAGCUGUAAACUGAUCAAACCAUUCAGGAAAACAAUGUGGAAUUGCACUUACAAAGUGAUUAAAAUGUCCAUACCUGUUGAUUUAGAGAUCCUUGCACAGAAGUGGGUCUUGAAGCCAAGAGCUGAUAAGGACAAUAAUGAUGGAGGUGUGAAAUCAGGAUUGUAUUUUCCCUCUCCUUGGUAAUUUCGAUUUAUAAAUUAUUGGCUUGAAUCUCUUUAUAAUAAAGAAAGUUUCAAAAAAUCAA
Long non-coding RNA from Vombatus ursinus (common wombat), 678 nucleotides. RefSeq lists it as uncharacterized. The record is from RefSeq and is a predicted model, not a curated record. Lineage: Eukaryota; Metazoa; Chordata; Mammalia; Diprotodontia; Vombatidae. The transcript is spliced from 2 exons.